GUUUUCUUAUGGAAAAUUCAAUUUUGAAUGUUGGAAAAAUGAAAAACUUGUUAUGAUUACAUGUUUUAUGCAGUCGAACUUCUUAUCAUUAUUAUGUAACUUUAUAAAGAUCUAUCAUCUCGUGUGAUGAAUCUGAUGUUGAGAGGCACUAUCUGAAUGUUAUCCUUUUGUUAUUUCUUAAAUUUUUGUAGGGCUUUGAACCUAGGACAAAAGCAGAAUCAGCAGUGCUUUUUAUCUUUGUUAAAUUUGUUUCUUUUCUUAAGAUUGAACCCCAACCUUAAGGGUCCCCGCCCUGCCCUGCCCUGCCCUGCCCUGCCCUUUGGAGCAUCGUAAGAGAGGUUCAUCAACGUCCCAACAGGUCAAGGAAUAAGAGCUGCCUGUACACUGAUGUCCACGAAGACUCCAAAUUCAUGUUUCAAAAGUCGAAUUCUCACACUGCGAUUGUCAACAAUACCGAGUAUAAUUCAUCCUUGUCUUUUGCACCAUUGGGAUAUAAAUUUGUUUUUCUUGUUUUGGAUGAUACUCAUUAUGUUUCACAUGUUCAUAGUUUAUGUAGAUGAAAAAGUUCAUUUAAUUAUAUUAAUAUCCUCGCUAUGCUCAUUAAUGUGAAGCAACUGUUAAUAUUACUUAUGAAAGACUCGUGUUGAACAAUGUUGUUCAAAAGCUCUUUAGAACACUGAUUUACAAGUCAUCACGACCUUAAAAGAGCAAUGGAAUGUGGUUACAAUGUCCUUUGACAUUGGAACUUUAGGUUGAUUAGAUUUUUGUUAAUAUUGUUGAAAAAUGGAAAAAUGAAAAUGUUGAUUAUUGUGUUGCUAGACGUCUUAUCGCAGGCAACAUUUGUAUUCUAUUUUAUUCCAACCUAGAAAACACCGAAUCUUGCAGAGGCAAAAAGCAAAUGCCUUUGGAAAAAGUCAUUACUUGAAAGAACUCAAAUUCAGGUUCUGCAUGAAAAUUCCUAGUGAUUGAUUCACAUGUUCACCAGUGGUGGUGGCUCCCUCUUCUCAUGAUUUGAACUCUCUGCUCACUUCACACUUUUUGUGAAAAAUGAGGGCACUAGAGUAAGAAUCUUGAAAAUGAUGAAAGAAAAGUGAUGAUGGAUCAGGGAAUGAAGUGUUUUGUCAGGCAUUAAGAUAUAAUAGAAUGAAUAAUGUUAUUUAACACGAUAAUACAUCAGUUUAAAUAACUUUAUGUGAUAUAUUUAAUUAAAUGUGAAAUUGUGAAACUCAUUUAAUUAGAUCUCUCGUUCAAUAUCAUUUAGUAUCAUCUAAAUUGGUAUUAUAGCACUAGCGAUGCUAACAUUAUUCGAAUUUGUUUUGACUCUAGUGUGUGUGUGUGUUGUGGGGUGGGGGGCUGUAAAGGGUCCUCUUGGAUCCUCUUUUUGGUGCAAAAGACUGCUCAAAUUCCCUAGUAAAUGGCCUUUUUGUCCAAUGCUUUUUGACUGUAAAAUUCAUAUAAAUUACAAUUUUCCAGAGUUUUGACUCUGAUUGGUCCUUGCUUUUCUUAAUCGUAAUUCCAUUUCCCACUGGAACAUGUGGGCUUAAUUCCUAUUAUAGCAGGAAAAGUGAUUGGAGAAAUCAAACCCUUUUACCUCAUUAAACAUCAUUACGUACCCAAGACAAUAGCCCACAACCUUAAUACAUGUAAUAAAAUAUAAUUAUUCAUAGUAUUAGUAUAUACUAAUGUAAAGAUGCUACUAAUCCUGCAUUACAAGCUAAAUUCACUCAACAAUAAAUCAACAAACAUUGGGACCAAAUCCCAUAAAACCAUUUGCUCCAUCAAAAGAGAUUUGUAUACCUUCUUGUUGAAUGUUCCCUAUUAUGGAAAGUCCUGAAGGCGAGGGAGCAAAUGCAAAACAAAAUGUGCCCUUUUCAUCCACUGGAAUGAGGAAGUUCCUAGCUGGAAGAGUUAGGAUCGGCCCGCCCGACAGGAAAAAUGAUACUGUCGGUACCCGAACAGUCUCAAACCCGUUCAAGUCAUAGCAAGUGUCGAAUAUCGAAACACCAGAUGAUCGAGGCAGAUUGGCUGUUUCGGCGAGAAAUAUGUCGCGAAAAGCCACGUAGGCUGCGGUUGGUAGCCUUGUGACAGCAGUCCCGGUGUCCAUUACCACUCCUCCAUCGCCUGAUUCAGUGAGUCGAAAAACGUUCUCGCCGAUUGGAACCUGCAUGCCACCGACCCCAAGACCCGAAAGCCCGAUAAAGUAAAAACUUGGGGCCCUUGGAUUUCGGAGUAGUGGUACCCAUGCAGCACCUAUGGGUAAUACCGAGCGGCCGAAUUCCAAUGACCCGGAUGAGUCCGUGCCUCGACUCACGAGGCAAUAACUAAAGGCUCCGCCCGUUUGCCCGCCCAAUUGACCCACAAGUGACAUGGAUCCCCCUCCAAGACCCAACAACCCGGCAGCUCCAAUAAACAUGCCCCGAUUCAUGUGCCCGCAUCCAAUGGCCACGCUUUGGACCUGGGUGUGUCCAAUGGUGAGCGUCUCGAGGGCGAGUGUACCUUUGGUGUACGACCCGUCACCAUACGAGACCUCGUACUUACACCGACCCGCAUGACACCCCGAAUUCUCGACCCGAUCACAAACCGAGGAGCUACACGACACCCCGGCAAACGAAGCCGAAUCUGCCGGGUCAAAUACUGGAUCCGACUGAUGGUAACAUUGGCUACAAGGUUGACAUUGGACCCAGACAAUAUCACUGCCAGAAUCAAUCACCAUGUAUUGGCUCCUGGCUGGACUUCCAACACCAAUCCGCACAAAGUAUUCUCCACUACCCUGGUCCAUGCCGGAAACCACUUCUGACCCAAAAUCCUCCACCUCAUAACUAGCCUUUCCACCACCUCCUCCUCCAGCGCCGGCUUUCAGGCGGUGAAUCAAGCUAGCCACCCUUUUAACGUCCCUUUUCAUGCGAGCCUCGAAACGGAGGUGAUGGUCAUUCGACCAGGCAAAAGAAAGCUUAUCUCUGUGAACCAAGUGAAGCUUCCAUGUCUUGUUCUUCUUUACAUCACCAUCACCAUGAUCAUCAGAAAUUAGUUCAUUGUAUUCCUUUGGGGCUCGAAUUUUCGUCUCGGCGGCAAUGGUUUCUUUAACAUUAAAGUUUUCAAAGGAGGGGAACGGUAUUGCAUGGCCGGAAGAAGUGGUGGUUUCAGAGGUAGAUAGUAUAAGGCGCGGCGGUAGAAGAAGAAGAAGCAAGAAUGCUUGAAAGGCUAGUAGUUGCAUUGCUUCAGUGUUUUAUUGGCAAAGAAAAUUAUAGUAACCAAAUACUUUGUUUUGAAAUGUGAGAUGUUUGAUGGGGUUUGUGGGGGAUUUAUUGGCUUUGGGUGAAGAAGAAAAAGUGGAGGAGAGAGAGAGAGACGUGGGAAAAUAAUUGAGUGGAGUGAUUGGUUUUUCCAUUUGCUUGUUGACAAAUUGGUGAAUAGUGAAAUUUGAGAGUGAGCUGUCUUUUUAUUUUCUUGUUUCCAGUUGCCAAAGUUCUCUCAAAACUCCCAUCCGUAGAGAAUAGAAAUUAAAUAUUCAAGUUGAUAAGAAAGGGCCAGGGGUGAAAGACCAAUUAAGAUCGAAUAUUCAUUUCAACCGUUCUAAUUUGAGAUUUCACUUCAACUGAGAAAUCUUUGGAUCCUAAAGCAAAUUUUUUUGUUUUUUAGAAAAAGCGGUAAACUCUUUCAUUAAGGAAGGGAAAAAAUAACCUAAAAGAGGUUGAGAGUAAGAGCAAACUAACCAGUAAACUCUUCGAGCUUUCCUUCAUUCGCUUUAUGGGAACAUCACAAAACAUGGUUGGAAGUCAGAAGGUGCACACUACCUACCAUGGAAUUUUGUCAAACGUUACAUAAUUGUGACUUCCUAAAUACUCCUGAAUUGUUAUUGAAAUUUAUAAGAUUUCGAGUUGUGAUUUAUUUUAUUCGUAAGUCUGUCGCUUGCUAUUUUAAAAGUUAAUAGAUUUGAUGACGUGGUAGACAAGAUUUCAUACUAAAGUUGAAGCAUGCUUCAUGUGAAAUUACGCCUUCUAGUCAUUAAGGUUGUUAAGUUCAAUGAAAAAUAAGAAACGUUUGAAGAAAAAGUAGUAGAGACUCUUAAAAACUUUUAAAAUUCAAUAAUCGUGUGAUUUUUGAAAAUUAAUUUCUUACUAAAUACAUUAUACAUUAUGGUAUAGAAAAUGUAGUCAAAGUAGAUGCAUUCUGUCUUCAUGAUUUAAGGUUAAGGUUAGCCAAAUAGGAGCACAAACCGCAAGCUGUAGGGCACAUCCUCACUUUAGCGUUUUUUCUAAUCAAUCUCAGCCGUAUAUCCGCCACCUUUAUAGGCUUUGUCGACCGAAUGAAUAAUGAAGCUUCCAAUAUAGGUAGAGUUAGUUUCACAUAUAUUUACUGAUGUUCGAGUGAAAUUUCGAAUUGGUUUAUUAAAUUAUAGAAAAUGAUUUAUUAAAUUCCCUUGUUUGGUAGGGUUUAAAGUUUAUAUUUUAAUUUAAGUCAAAAUUAAUAAUUAAUUUUAAUAGCAUAUUCCACCGAAUCUACAAUUUUUCAAUCAUACAUUUCAUCAACUUUUAUCAAAAUCAGUUAAAAAUUCAAUUUUAAUCUUUACCAAACGGGGCAUAGUUGUUUGACUCAUCUGAGGCAAUAAUGAUAUGUCAAAUCAAUCCACAUAUCUAAUCUAAUUCACGAGACCCAUGUCCCAUAAUCAACUUAUUUACUAGUUAAGUGCAUCAAGUCACAGUUGCUUAACAGACACUUAGCAAAACAUUUCUCAUUAAGCGACCAUUUGGUAUUCAUUUUAUUUUUAUCUCUCCUAUUUUCAACUACACAAUUUUUCAUAAAAUAAUAUUAUGCACAAAUCGAUAAUUUUUCAUUCUUUUUCAAUCACUCAUUUUUCAAAUAAAUACUAUUCCAACUAUUUCCACUACCCAAAAAUGGGGAAUUACAUUUCAUUUUUAUUUCUCUUAUUUUUAAUCACACAAUUUUUCAUAAAAUAAUAUUACACGUAAAUCGAUAAUUUUUCCUUCUUUUUCAACCAUUCAUUUUCCAAAAAUGGGGGCCCAAACGGGGGCUAACGUAUUUUUGCAACCCAUUUACAGUUCAUUUGACGGGCUUUUGAAAGUCAAAAAGCAAUUUCUGAGAUUAAGAAACUGUUUUUGAAUAUAUUUGGACAGUUUUUGAAAAGUUGUUUAUCUGGUCUAAGAAUUUUUAGAGGAAGGUGGCACAGGAUAACUACUUUGGGAUGUUCUUCUAUAAGAAGCAAAAUAAAAAAAUAAAAACCUUCCAAAACGAACACUUGGUAACUAAAGUUAAAUAAGUUUACAUAAUUGGUCAUUCAUCUAAUCGUAUCCACUCCAAAUUCUAUGUCGAACUGUUAAAUCAUAACAUCGAGAAGUUUUAGAUCAAUCUAUCGUUUGAAAUGAUUUAAAUCAUAUUAUGCUGGGUCUUAAACUCUAUUAGACCUAUCCCUUAGUUAUCUCGUGACUUAAAUCUUUUAAAUAGACUGCUAUAUUAAAAGUUGAGCUUUUUUAAUUAACUAAAAAAAAUACUAAUGGAACUCUUUAUUAUUGGAAUUAUAUAUUAAUUACCUUUUACAUCACAAGAAGAGUAUAGAAAGAUUUCAGUUACUUUAUAAUUAAAUAAUUUACCAUUAAUCUUUUUAUAUAUAGAAACUUUUCGACUUUUUCUUGGUAAAGUGCUUUUGCAAUUUGAUUAUUUCUUACAAAAAGUACGUAUGCAAGUGCAUUUCUUAAUUAUACAAUUAAGAGCUCACAAUAUUAUUCAUUACUAUCAUCCUUGUAAACACGUGCUCCUUUAACAUUAAUUAACUUCUAAUGAAUAAUGUUAUUAAUUUAUUUUCUAGUGAAAAUUUUCUCCGAUCAAUAAUUUUAUCUAUGUUACGUUGCGUUGAGAAGUAAAUAUUUAUUUUUUUUUAAUUUUUUUAUUUAGCCCAGUAUUUUUUUUUUUUUGAUAUCCAGAUAUCACAGCUUACACCAGACUAAAUAGCGGGUUAUGCUUCAACUGGAUCACAGGUUCCCUCCAUUGACUGUACACUUUUGCGCACAAGAGACCUUCCCCCACAGUGAUUGUUCCAUACCAAAUUUUUAGCCGAGUAUCUAAUCAAUAGGAAACCAAUUGUCCCUAUUUAAUUUUGUUAAAAAUCGAAUUUUUAUCAAAUUUUGAUAAAGUUGAUGAAAUGUAUAUUAAAAAAUUGAUAAAAAUUAUAGAUCCCAUAAAAAUUAUAGUUAAAAAAUAAAUUAAAAAAAAAUGAGGAUCAAACAUGAGCUGUUAUUUGGAUUUAAAUCUUUUGACAGAGAAGUCGUCAAAAUGAUUUUGAACAAUAAUUGUAACAAAAGCGUCAUUUGGGAAUUUGACGCUGAAGCACUUGUGACAUAAUAAUAUGUUCGACUGAACUUGAUUAGCUAUAAUUAAAAAGGACAUUUGCGACGUAUAAAUACAAAAUACUAUAUUGUUACUUACAAUCCCAACAACUCCACGAGAGUUUACACUUUAUAUAAAAAAACAAAGACUAUCAAAAAAAAAAAAAUAUAUGAACACUAAAGCUAUUUCUACGUGCCGCACGUUAGUUUGUAGAUAUUGUGAAGUGGACUCAACACCAUUACAUAUUCGGUCACAUGUGUCACAGUUUAUCAAUCACAAAUUAUUUUGAUCACAAUUAUCAAAUUUUAAGUUUGAGUUGGUCACUAGUUGAUCACAGAUCAAAUACUAUGUCAUAUUCCAUGCCACCACUGCCACUUUCCACCGCACUCACCCCGUCCAUGUCGUCAGCCACCAUCUCGUCGUCGACACUACCAAUCUACCACCAUCGUUAGUUCCACUACCAACAAGAUCCACCCAAUUCCCCCAACACAAUUAAAACAAGACCACAACCACCACUCCAACCAAAAAAACACCACAACCAGCAUCACCACUACCCUAACACCGCACCACCACUCCAGAUCCACCUCCACCGCCCCCAGAAACCACCAUAACAACCACCACCACGAGUGCCACCACCUCCACAGUCACAAAAUCAUUGCCGCCACCAAACAGUCAAACCACAACCUCACCACCAACACCACAAAAACACAUAUCACCUCACAACCACUAACAAAACUGUCACCCCCAGAUCCUACUAACAAAAACCACCACAACACAAGGUCCAUAACUAAAAAAAAGAAAAAGAAGAAGAAGAAGAAAGAAAAAAGCAGGGCAACGGGUAGUGGAGUUUACAGCACCACCAUCUCCGACGGCAAUGGACGAGGCCGCCACUAUUGAAAAUCGGACCUGUGCUCACUACUGAAAACCCCAGUAGCCUCCACCACCGCCGCCCCCGACACCACCACUGCUGAAAAUCGAACUGGCGCUCACAUUUACGAUUCCAAGAAAAGGAGGCAUCGUGCCCCUUGAAGCAGUGCCGAUAGAGAGAAGGGAGAGUCUAUAGAGUGCAAUCGCUCAGAUUUUUCGACGCCAGUAGAGGUGGUCUCCGAUGAUGGAGUUGGGAGAGAGCACAGGCGAUUACGAGAGACGUGAGAAAGAAAAUGAGAGAUGGAGAGUGAGAGGAUGGAAAGGGGGAUUUUAAUUUUAGGGUUUAGUACCUGAUUUAUGCAUUAUCAAACCUUGCACCUGAUUUUAGGAUUGUGAUUUUUAAACACUGGCUUUGGUGUAAUUUCCUCUUUUUUCCCAUUGUAUAAACGUCAAGUGGGCUAAGGUCCGGUUAAGAUUUAAAGGGCUCUAUUUGGCCCAAACAUUUGGCCCAUUUAUUAGAAAACCAUCCACAUCCGUUGAUGCAAACAUGCCAUAAGCCCUAAAAUGAAUCCUAACCGUUACUAUAACCCUUCAGUCCACUAGGGUUUUGGCUUUUUUGUGUUAUUUGAGCCUCUUGUGCGGCUAUCGUCAUUCUCCUUCCCCCUCCAAAACCCCGCACCCCACACCCGAGGAAAAGCUUUGGGCAGUGAAAAAUGGUAAGAUUUCAGAUCAAAUGAAUUGUUAUUGAUCAUGUGGAUAGUUCUCUUGUUCUUAAUAUUUUUCCUGCUAUUAAUAAAAUGAUCAAUGGAUUUUGCUUUCCGAGCAUGUUCACUGUUCGUUUAAAUGUUCUGAAUUCUCAAGAGCAAAAAUAAUUUCGUGGUACUUUGGUGACGAUAAAUAUAUCUCAUUUCCUGGUAUUCCAUUUUGGUCGUUGAUUAUCAGAUGUUAAGCUUUUUUGCGUUUCUACAAUUCUAUAUUGUGCACAUGAAUAUGCCAAAUCCUUAAUUAUUUUGGUUUUAUGUGGUCAGGUUUUUUUGCUAUAGUUGGUUUGAGCAUGAAUAACUGCUCGUCUACCGUAAAUUAAACUUCGAUAAUUUUCUAUUUCACGUUUUAUGAUUUGGAAAAUUUCUAUGUGAUUUGUUCACACCAUGGUUGCGCUAAUAAGACGAGCAGCGUAAUGAAGUCCUCUCAUUGUUUUACAUAAUUCACAGGCCUUCGUCAAAGCCCAAAAGUCAAGAGCUUACUUCAAACGAUUCCAAGUCAAAUAUAAGAGGAGGAGAGGUAUGGCAUCCUUACCUUUGCUUCCAUGUUCUUAGUUGUCAACUUCUCUUAUUGUAUUUUUCGAUUCUGCAGAGGGAAAGACUGACUACCGGGCUAGAAUUCGCAUGAUCAACCAGGAUAAAAACAAGUACAACACUCCAAAAUAUCGAUUUGUUGUGCGAUUUGUAUCCUGAUACACUGUCAUUUUCCUUUUUUUGCAAAGUAAUAUACUAUUCUGAUUACUCUUGCACGCAUACCUAGAGCUUUGUCUUUGUUCAGCUUGACAAUGUAUGGGCAAAAUUCUGCCAGCCAAGUAUCUAAUUGUUUUCAUAGCAUUUUAUUUUUUUUAUUUGUUGACUUACUUUAUUUUCUUUUAUUCGCAUUAAAGUUGGCUUAUUGAUUUUAGCCAUUUGAAUUACUUAACGGUGGAUUUUGAGUUGUCCUGAUAGAAAUUAUUUUUCACCACAUAGGGAAGUUCCAUCACAUUGCUUGUAGUAAUAGUGUUAUUGCUGUGAUCAUUUUAAAAGAAUGUUCAAUAUGUUCCAUGUGAAAUGGCAAAUUACCUUGAUAUGAUUCUAGUCCAACCAAGACAUAGUUGCACAAAUUAUAUCUGCUAGCAUUGCUGGUGAUAUGGUUCUUGCGGCUGCUUAUGCACAUGAGCUGCCUCGGUAUGGCCUUGAAGUUGGGCUCAAAAAUUAUGCUGCUGGUAAAUUUGCUACUUUAGACCAAUUUGUUAGUUUUUUUCCUCGUAAAAAAUUCAAAAAUUUGUCACUCUUGUUAUUGAAAACUAGCUUACUGCACCGGACUUCUGUUGGCUCGCCGAGUUCUCAAAACCCUUGAAAUGGAUGAAGAGUAUGAAGGAAAUGUUGAGGUAACUACUAUUUUCUCACUUCAUCUGAUCUUUCAUUGCUUGCCACGGGAUUAUUCUUGUCUGCCUGUGAGUUAUGGAAAUCCUUUUAUUGAUUGCUUAUUCCAUUCAGGCUACUGGAGAGGAUUUCUCCGUUGAACCUGCUGAAAGCCGGAGGCCUUUCCGUGCACUCUUGGAUGUUGGCCUUGUACGAACUACCACUGGCAACCGUGUUUUUGGUGCCCUCAAGGUAGCAUUCCAGCUCUUCACAUAUUGAAAUUUGAAGUUCUAGAAGUUAAAAAUAACACUCUGAACUUAAUUAAUUCCUUUGGUUCUAAGCCUAAAAAUCACAUUAUUUCGUCAACUUUCUUACACUGACAAUUCCUCACUACUUAAGUUAGCAAUAAUAAGACUAACUCCUUAUUUAUUGUUAACUGCAGUGUCAUUUCAUUGUUAUAUAACUAAGUAAAAUAUAUUUGCUUGUUUUAUAUGUAAUUUUUUUUAGCAGUUUUAAAUGUAUUAGUUGACAUGACUUUGCUUGUAGGUGUAGUCUUAGAUUUUCUUGGAAUUAGAUAAUAUGAUUCUUUAUCCUCAAAAGUUAUUUUGUAUCUUGAUUAUAGGGAGCAUUGGAUGGUGGACUUGACAUCCCACAUAGCGACAAGAGAUUUGCUGGAUACAACAAAGAGAGCAAGCAACUUGAUCCCGAGGUUCAUCGUAAGUACGUCUAUGGAGGUCAUGUUGCUGCAUACAUGAGGGUGAGUCCUCAUUCUUAAAUACUCCCAGUGUUUUGUAACGACAAUAUUCAAAAUUCGUAAUUUUAAUCUGAACUUGUUGUGUACUUGUUAACACACGACAGCCUGCAAAGUUUCCAUUUAGUGUUUUCUUCCCUGACUUCACUCAUAUGAAGCAAACUAAAUGUUCCUCUGAACGUGCAGACAUUGGAGGAAGACGAGCCCGAGAAAUACCAGUCUCACUUUAUUGAGUACAUUAAGAAGGGUCUCGAUGCAGAUGGGUUAGAGGAGAUGUACAAGAAGGUCCAUGCAGCCAUUCGUGCCGAUCCCACACAAAAGAAAUCUGAAAAGCAGCCUGCAAAGGAGCACAAGAGGUAAGGCCUUUUCUGUGGGGGCCUAUGUUAUUUGUGAUCAAAUAGGGUUUGCUGGCUUUGCAAAGUACCACGUAUUCCUGAACAAUAUGGAUUCUCAAUGUUUAGUUGAUCAUAUACUUGAUCACUAACUGCAGGUCGGUUUUGGUUUACUUUUGCAGGUACAACCUGAAAAAACUGACUUAUGAGGAAAGGAAAGCCAAGUUGAUAGAAAGGUUGAAUGCAUUGAAUGCAGCUGCUGGGGAUGACGAUGAGGAAGAUGACGACUG
Molecule: long non-coding RNA, 10687 nt
Filed under: Olea europaea (common olive)
Lineage: Eukaryota; Viridiplantae; Streptophyta; Magnoliopsida; Lamiales; Oleaceae
Description: long non-coding RNA (OEUR_LNC001589)
Source: RNAcentral